This 1368-nucleotide long non-coding RNA is filed under the name Monodelphis domestica (gray short-tailed opossum). RNAcentral's name for it is "lncRNA (ENSMODG00000046836.1)". The record is from RNAcentral. Lineage: Eukaryota; Metazoa; Chordata; Mammalia; Didelphimorphia; Didelphidae.
CAUUUUCCAUUCUGUGCUCCAAGAACCUCUUUAGCACUAGCAUUCUAUGAGUUAUAUGUGUGUGUGUGUGUGUGUGUGUGUGUGUGUGUGUGUAUAUUCCCCUGUCAGUAUCAUAUGGUUCCCCUUGUCAUCACCUAAUGGGUAGGUGUGAUGACUGAACAUUUCUCUAUCACUGCUUAAUACAGGGACCCCAUGUGAAAUCUGGUACUUAAUAAGUAUUUUGUUUUGUUUUGUUUUGUUUUCUGACGACUUUGAUGAUGAAAAGGGUCCUGCAUGGUACUAGAGAUACCAAGAUCAAAAAGGAAGAAAAAGAAAAAAAUCAGCUCCUGUCCUCAAGGGACUUAAAAUCCGCCUGGGAGAGAAGCAACAUGAACAUAGAUAAGUACAUAAAUGCAAAAUAUAUACAAAGUAAUUUCUGAAGGAGAAAAAAACACUAACUAUUCAGGCUGGGAUUGCUAGGGUGGGUAGAAUCAGGAUAAACCUUGUGGAAGAGUUAGCACUUAUGCUGAGCUUUGAAGAAAGCAAAGGUAAAGAUAGAGUGCAUUCUAAGGAUGGGAAAUAGACUACAAGGUGCCAAAAUGUUUACCCAACUCAAGGAGGCCAGCUUGCCUGGAAAAAAAAAAUUAAUAAGAAAGAAAUGUGCCAUGAGUCUGAAUAGGUCAUCUGGAGGCAGACUCAAGAAGGCUUCAAAUGACAAGUUGAGGAAUUAAUAUUUUAUUUUAGAGGCAACUGAAAGACACUGAGCUUCUUGAGCAAGAGAAUAUGAUCAGACUCACCUUGCUUUAAGUAAUAUAAAUUUGACAGCUAUAUGCAUCUCUAUAGGACACUCCAGCUCUAGAACCCCAAAGGGAAUCUGUGUUGAGGCAAAAUGAUAUUUACAUUUCAUGUCCACAUAUUAAGUGGGAUAGAUCAUGGGUUCUUGGAUGAUUAUGAGAAUAUGCAUUAAAACAGGUGAUUGUAAUUUUGUGGAUGUGUGUUUAAAAUGUUAUAUGUGUAAGGACUAAGAUUAGUGCACAUGUACAGAGACAUUGAUGGAGUACUGGACUUGGAAUAAGAAAGACAUGGGCUCAUAACUUGCCUCAGUUACUUACCAGCUGUAUGACUAGGAACCAAUCACUUUACCUCACAGAGCCUUAGUUUCUUCAUCUUUAAAAUGGUGUCAUGGGUAAACUAGCUAGUCUCUAAGGUCUCUUUUAGCUCUGAAUAUUUGGUUCUAUGAUCUCAUAAAUGUAGGUAUACAAUGAAGAGGUAUUAAAGCUAGGAAGGAUUCCCAACAUGCCAAUUAAGAUAAUCAUUUUAAAAGGGAAAAAAUUAUUUUUUUUAAAAGAUGCAUAAUCCUUCCACACAAAUCUAAAAUUCAGUAUGCCA